CGGUGAUACGGAGGGUGCAAGCGUUAAUCGGAAUUACUGGGCGUAAAGCGCACGCAGGCGGUUUGUUAAGUCAGAUGUGAAAUCCCCGCGCUUAACGUGGGAACUGCAUUUGAAACUGGCAAGCUAGAGUCUUGUAGAGGGGGGUAGAAUUCCAGGUGUAGCGGUGAAAUGCGUAGAGAUCUGGAGGAAUACCGGUGGCGAAGGCGGCCCCCUGGACAAAGACUGACGCUCAGGUGCGAAAGCGUGGGGAGCAAACAGGAUUAGAUACCCUGGUAGUCCACGCUGUAAACGAUGUCGACUUGGAGGUUGUGCCCUUGAGGCGUGGCUUCCGGAGCUAACGCGUUAAGUCGACCGCCUGGGGAGUACGGCCGCAAGGUUAAAACUCAAAUGAAUUGACGGGGGCCCGCACAAGCGGUGGAGCAUGUGGUUUAAUUCGAUGCAACGCGAAGAACCUUACCUACUCUUGACAUCCACGGAAUUCGCCAGAGAUGGCUUAGUGCCUUCGGGAACCGUGAGACAGGUGCUGCAUGGCUGUCGUCAGCUCGUGUUGUGAAAUGUUGGGUUAAGUCCCGCAACGAGCGCAACCCUUAUCCUUUGUUGCCAGCACGUAAUGGUGGGAACUCAAAGGAGACUGCCGGUGAUAAACCGGAGGAAGGUGGGGAUGACGUCAAGUCAUCAUGGCCCUUACGAGUAGGGCUACACACGUGCUACAAUGGCAUAUACAAAGAGAAGCGAACUCGCGAGAGCAAGCGGACCUCAUAAAGUAUGUCGUAGUCCGGAUUGGAGUCUGCAACUCGACUCCAUGAAGUCGGAAUCGCUAGUAAUCGUAGAUCAGAAUGCUACGGUGAAUACGUUCCCGGGCCUUGUACACACCGCCCGUCACACCAUGGGAGUGGGUUGCAAAAGAAGUAGGUAGCUUAGCCUUCGGGAGGGCGCUUACCACUUUGUGAUUCA
This 954-nucleotide ribosomal RNA is filed under the name uncultured bacterium. RNAcentral describes it as "bacterial SSU rRNA". It matches the Rfam family "Bacterial small subunit ribosomal RNA", at positions 518 to 1471 of the family's 1533-position model. The record is from RNAcentral.